This is a long non-coding RNA of Triticum urartu, 2225 nucleotides long. RefSeq lists it as uncharacterized. The record is from RefSeq and is a predicted model, not a curated record. Lineage: Eukaryota; Viridiplantae; Streptophyta; Magnoliopsida; Poales; Poaceae.
CUCCGGAAAGGAAAGGAAACCUCUUCGAUCCAGAGAGAACGGAUCGGGGUUGCGGGCGACGCCGCUGCCGCGCCGUCUUCGCGUCUUCUUCUGAAUGGAUCCAGCCAAAGCGCGCAGGAUCCUCCCCUUCCCUUUACCCCGGCGAGGCAGCCAGGGAGACGGCAAAGAGGUUGGUGAGGACGGAGAGAUCCCCUCCCCGCAUGGCGAUGGUGGGCAUGAGGCGACGCCUCCAGUUCCUGCAACGUUGAGGCCUCUCCGCCAUCGCGAUCUGUAGAACGAAGCCCAUCCCGAACACCAGUCGUAGGAUGAAGGGAUUGUUCAGGGAAUGGAUCGUGGUGCGCACUUGCGCUACAGAGGGAUUGUUCAUCUUCCUGGAGGAACUUCUAUCUGUAGGGACGUCACCUUGUGCUAUUGAAGGAUACUGAGAAGAAUUUUUUUUUCUUCAGAGAGAAGGAUACCGAGGAGAUAUUUGAUUCCAAUUGGUCUAAUUGUUGUCGGUGUUCCCCCUCAUGAUAGCUCCCGCAUUCUUGAUGAAUUAAGCAUGGAAGGAUGGAAAAUCUGGAUGAAGGCCAUAGUAUUGCAGAGUUCCAGUCAGAUCCUUGUUUUAUUAUUCGUCUUUUGUAGAUUGAAUUCAACUACAUUGAGACAGCACAUCAGCCGUGGCACAAUAACAAAUGGCAGCAGAGGGUUCCCACCUUGAUGAUUUUUCUGUGUAACCAAUCUAAAUAUUUAAGUGUUGUUAUAUUGGCAAAAUAAAGGCAAGUCAUCCAUAUCUUUGAAUUAUUCAAUUUCCGAUAUCUUCACGCUUCCUUGUUUCCAUAUUUUUUUUUCAGGUUUGAGAGGAGCCAUUUGUGUGCAAUAGUUGCUAUUGGUAUUCGAAUUCGCAUAUAGAUCUGAGAGUUGUGCCAUGGUUGUCAUUUUCGGAGGGCAAGUUUGUCUAACUUGAUAUGGGCAUGGAGCCAUCCUUGGGGAGCCAGUCAACCUGGUCCAGCGCAUUGUUGGUAGGCUCGGGGUUAUCUGGGCAUGGUAGACCGCCUCAAGGCCUUCAAGGGCUCCAUCGACCUCCAUUCAGGGAUGUCGCGGGUAUGGCGGUCAGCAGCGGCAUGGGAGGUCGUCGGCCAGCAGGAGUGCGGUACGCUGGGGUGGCCCUUCCCGUUCAUAUACCAUAUGGUAUAGAUCAGCAAGCGAUCAGUGGCUCGAACGAUUUCUUAUGCCCACAGGUUUGUAAAGUGUCCCUUUUUUGUUUGUGCAUAGAAUUGAUCCGCCCGAAAUGUUUUACGACUUAAUAUUGUAAAAUUAGCGGCGAUUCUUUUCUAUUAUGCCAUGCAACUUCCCGACUUUAUUCAUUUGUCACAUUUCACUGUGCAUAUGUAACUCUUUUACAUGGAAAACUAUUUGUGUGCAUUUUAGUUUGUAUUGGCUACUUUAGCUUUUCAUCAAAAACAAAUUAUGCUUUCGUGUCUGCCCCACCUCAAUUAUUCUCCGUCCUCUGCCACUGUAUAUAUUUGAUUAUUUUCAAUAUACGACAAUUAGUUUCACUCGAUCAUACCAUAUGAUGUUGCAAGAUUGACAAAUUUUACAUGCUCCUAUGUAUGGCGUGGAGCGUUUCAGUUUUUCUUAGUACACUUUCCCUGUUUUGAGGAAGCACCACAUAAAUAGAACUUGAAGAUAGUAGUACGAGUAUUUCACAGGGUUCGUGUGUUGCAUCUAACAAGUUAAAAUAUCAACAUUAAUGUCGAUUCUCUUAACAUAUACGCAUUCUUUUAGGAGAUUCAUGCUAAUUUUCAGAUCAUGUGGUCACAAAAGCAUUGAUCCAAAAUCAUAAUAUUUGGCUACUCAAAGCGGGUGUGUGAUCAGCUGACCCAAGACCUAUCUUGGCCAUUAAAGGAACAGUUGUGUCAUUGUUGCAGCAACUUCUGCGAAAUUUCCACAUGCCUGAGAUGCUUGGCGAACUGAAUCUCUGCAUAUAAACAGUCUGUCAUGCUUGCUUUGGUGGUAGGAGAAAGAGAUGAAAUAUUUGUGUUAAUGCUAUCAUGUUCAGAAAUCUCUCCUUCCUCUUGUCUUUUUUACUUUGAUAAAUAUUCGAUGUUUAUUGUCCUAAAGCUUGUAAUGGUGUGGCUCGCGCACUAGCUACCUCAGAUUGGUGCUGCCCAGGAACAUGUAAGCCUAUGUAGCUGUCAAUUUGUCUAGCUUGUCCCUUGAUGAAAAAUGUUAUAUCUCAGUAA